AUAUCAGGCCAGCUGUGACCCUAGAGGAGUAGGCCAUAUCAGCCAGCCACAUCCCUGGAGCCGUGGGCUGUAUUGGUCCAGCUGUGACCCUAGAGCUUCUGAACCGAAUCUGAAAUUACGGUCCAGGCUAAAGCAGAAAGUGGCCGAAAGACGGAGCAGCCCCCUGUUACGCAGGAAAGACGGGCCAGUGGUCACUGCUCUAAAAAAGCGUCCGUUGGAUGUCACAGACUCCGCGUGCAGCAGCGCCCCAGGCUCCGGACCCAGCUCACCCAACAACAGCUCCGGGAGCGUCAGCGCGGAGAACGGUAUCGCGCCCGCCGUCCCCAGCAUCCCGGCGGAGACGAGUUUGGCGCACAGACUUGUGGCACGAGAAGGCUCGGCCGCUCCACUUCCCCUCUACACAUCGCCAUCCUUGCCCAACAUCACGCUGGGCCUGCCUGCCACCGGCCCCUCUGCGGGCACGGCGGGCCAGCAGGACGCCGAGAGACUCACCCUUCCCGCCCUCCAGCAGAGGCUCUCCCUUUUCCCCGGCACCCACCUCACUCCCUACCU
Molecule: long non-coding RNA, 552 nt
Filed under: Homo sapiens (human)
Lineage: Eukaryota; Metazoa; Chordata; Mammalia; Primates; Hominidae
Description: non-protein coding lnc-NDUFA10-3:1
Source: RNAcentral